RNAcentral lists this ribosomal RNA (1127 nucleotides) under Lactiplantibacillus plantarum. RNAcentral's name for it is "bacterial SSU rRNA". It matches the Rfam family "Bacterial small subunit ribosomal RNA", at positions 349 to 1469 of the family's 1533-position model. The record is from RNAcentral. Lineage: Bacteria; Bacillati; Bacillota; Bacilli; Lactobacillales; Lactobacillaceae.
CAGCAGUAGGGAAUCUUCCACAAUGGACGAAAGUCUGAUGGAGCAACGCCGCGUGAGUGAAGAAGGGUUUCGGCUCGUAAACUCUGUUGUUAAAGAAGAACAUAUCUGAGAGUAACUGUUCAGGUAUUGACGGUAUUUAACCAGAAAGCCACGGCUAACUACGUGCCAGCAGCCGCGGUAAUACGUAGGUGGCAAGCGUUGUCCGGAUUUAUUGGGCGUAAAGCGAGCGCAGGCGGUUUUUUAAGUCUGAUGUGAAAGCCUUCGGCUCAACCGAAGAAGUGCAUCGGAAACUGGGAAACUUGAGUGCAGAAGAGGACAGUGGAACUCCAUGUGUAGCGGUGAAAUGCGUAGAUAUAUGGAAGAACACCAGUGGCGAAGGCGGCUGUCUGGUCUGUAACUGACGCUGAGGCUCGAAAGUAUGGGUAGCAAACAGGAUUAGAUACCCUGGUAGUCCAUACCGUAAACGAUGAAUGCUAAGUGUUGGAGGGUUUCCGCCCUUCAGUGCUGCAGCUAACGCAUUAAGCAUUCCGCCUGGGGAGUACGGCCGCAAGGCUGAAACUCAAAGGAAUUGACGGGGGCCCGCACAAGCGGUGGAGCAUGUGGUUUAAUUCGAAGCUACGCGAAGAACCUUACCAGGUCUUGACAUACUAUGCAAAUCUAAGAGAUUAGACGUUCCCUUCGGGGACAUGGAUACAGGUGGUGCAUGGUUGUCGUCAGCUCGUGUCGUGAGAUGUUGGGUUAAGUCCCGCAACGAGCGCAACCCUUAUUAUCAGUUGCCAGCAUUAAGUUGGGCACUCUGGUGAGACUGCCGGUGACAAACCGGAGGAAGGUGGGGAUGACGUCAAAUCAUCAUGCCCCUUAUGACCUGGGCUACACACGUGCUACAAUGGAUGGUACAACGAGUUGCGAACUCGCGAGAGUAAGCUAAUCUCUUAAAGCCAUUCUCAGUUCGGAUUGUAGGCUGCAACUCGCCUACAUGAAGUCGGAAUCGCUAGUAAUCGCGGAUCAGCAUGCCGCGGUGAAUACGUUCCCGGGCCUUGUACACACCGCCCGUCACACCAUGAGAGUUUGUAACACCCAAAGUCGGUGGGGUAACCUUAUAGGAACCAGCCGCCUAAGGUGGGACA